Molecule: ribosomal RNA, 468 nt
Filed under: uncultured bacterium
Lineage: Bacteria
Description: partial 16S ribosomal RNA
Rfam family: Bacterial small subunit ribosomal RNA
Source: RNAcentral
GACGAACGCUGGCGGCGUGCUUAACACAUGCAAGUCGAACGGAAAGGCCCUGCUUUUGUGGGGUGCUCGAGUGGCGAACGGGUGAGUAACACGUGAGUAACCUGCCCUUGACUUUGGGAUAACUUCAGGAAACUGGGGCUAAUACCGGAUAGGAGCUCCUGCUGCAUGGUGGGGGUUGGAAAGUUUCGGCGGUUGGGGAUGGUCUCGCGGCUUAUCAGCUUGUUGGUGGGGUAGUGGCUUACCAAGGCUUUGACGGGUAGCCGGCCUGAGAGGGUGACCGGCGACAUUGGGACUGAGAUACGGCCCAGACUCCUACGGGAGGCAGCAGUGGGGAAUAUUGCACAAUGGGCGGAAGCCUGAUGCAGCAACGCCGCGUGCGGGAUGACGGCCUUCGGGUUGUAAACCGCUUUCGCCUGUGACGAAGCGUGAGUGACGGGAAUGGGUAAAGAAGCACCGGCUAACUACGUG